Molecule: long non-coding RNA, 2346 nt
Filed under: Homo sapiens (human)
Lineage: Eukaryota; Metazoa; Chordata; Mammalia; Primates; Hominidae
Description: non-protein coding lnc-MFAP1-3:1
Source: RNAcentral
AAUUAGCUAGGCGUGGUGGCACAUGCCUGUAGUCCCAGCUACUCAGGAGGCUGAGGUGGGAGGAUCACCUGAGCCUGGGAGGUCGAGGCUGCAGUGAGCCGUGAUUGUACCACUGCACUCCAGUCUAGGCAAUGGAGUAAGACUGUCUCAAAAAACUAAAGAACUUUAAAAAAAUUAUAACAAAAUGAUGCUGAAGAAAACAUUGGAGGACCUGCUGUAACAUCAUUUGGCUUAAAGUCAUGGUUUCCAGGAACCUGUUGACAACAUGAGGACUUAAUAGAUAUGAUCAGCAGGAUCAUGAACUAGAAAGCGGCUUGGAUUCUAUCCUUGGUUUUGCCAUUAACUGCCAACCACAUGACUUCAGAUAACCUCUUGCCCUCACUACCUUGUGGAGUUACUGAAAGAUAAAAUCAAAGUGCUUUAAAAAGAUGAAAGCAUUAUACAAAUUUAAGAUUUUAGCACAGGGACAAAAAAUACAGCUAAGACUAUGAGGAGCUUCUGAAAGCAGAGAUUGAGAGCUGUGGCAAAUAUAUGAGCCGUGACGCAAUGGGGAGCGUAACUAGAUGGCAGGUGCCCUGCCUUUGCCCCCACCCUCUCUCCCCAUUGUCCUACUCAUUCAUAACCCAGAUUCCAGGGCUCAUUCCUCUGGAGAAUCCUUAACUGUGCCUGUGCCAAGACAGGCUCCACAAGGCUGGUCAGGCAGGCUGCCUGGGUGCAAACGGCCAAGCCAUGAGGGAGCCAAGGAAGAUGGGACACACUGCUUCUGAAAGGUUACUAACACCUUUUUAAGAGAGACCUUUGGACUGCUUCAUGUCCUGGAAGAAGGGGAAAAAAGAGACCCUUUGGGCUUCUGGAGCUAGCCCUGAACCAAAAAACUCCCUAAUCAACCUGACUUAGGUAAAACCUUUACUGAGCUGGGAAUCUGGUUCAGUCUGGGAUUGUCAGGGACUAUUUCAGGGCAACAGAAGGGGACUGGCUUUUCUUGUCAUAGGUCACAAAGGCAGAGAGAACCACACCAGCAUCACCAAGAUGGCCAGGAGUGGAAAAUGCAGACAUUGAGCCUAAAACAAGAAGCCAUUUCCUUGGGAGCACUGUGAUGGGGGCCGCGCUCACUCACUAUAUGCCCAAAGCCUCUGGCCUGGGUGGCUGCUGUUCAGUUGAGAGUGUAACCAGCUCCUGUUUUCCCUGCCAGGGCUUGAGUCCUGUGAGAACCUUGGGAAGAGAGAAGAGAUAAUGGGUAGUUUUAGGGGAUAGAAUACCCCUUCCUCCUACCAAAUGUAAGAGAAAUCCACCCCCGCAACAAGAUCUUCUCAAACUGUUUUGUGCUCUGAAGUGUCUAAAGAUAGGGGAGCUUUUCAGCCUAUUCUAGACCCAGCUCCUUCUCAGAGGAAAAGAGAGGGAGCUGGCCAGGGACUACUCCCAUGCCCCCUCAAGAAGAGCAGAGAGAGUUUCUACCCCAUCAUUCCACAAAGUCAGAACAGCUAGAACGGAGGCUGAAGAGACUGAGAGCAGCUGCAGAAAUCCAAAAAUAUUGACCUUAUAAGCUCAAGAUGCUGUAUGCUGGGUUUUUACAAGGAUAUUCGGUAUUUGAUGAAACCCAGUUAGGCAUGACAUAUUCCCCUUCUCCCCAUUCCUACCUCUCUUUUAUUAAAAAUUUUAUAGUUACAGUGUCUAUGUUGCCCAGCCUGGUCUUGAACCCUUUGGCUCAAGUGAUCCACCUGCCUUGGCCUCCCAAAGUGCUGGGAUUACAGAUGGGAGCCAUCGUGUCUGGCCCAUUCCUGCCUCUUAAAGCCCUCCACCCAACAGGCAGACUUGAGACUCAAACCGUGGUCCCAGCUCUGCAUCAGGGGUAGUUUGGAAUUCAGAUUCUUUCAAACUGGGGUAAAAACCAGGCCCAGAGUUCAGAGUUCAACAACAAGCUUCCAAGAUGCCGCCCAAAGGAAAAAGUGGUUCUGGAAAAGCGGGGAAAGGGGGUGCAGCCUCUGGGAGUGACAGUGCUGACAAGAAGGCUCAAGGUCCCAAAGGUGGUGGCAAUGCAGUAAAGGUCAGACACAUUCUAUGGGAAAAACAUGGCAAAAUCAUGGAAGCCAUGGAAAAGUUAAAGUCUGGGAUGAGAUUCAAUGAAGUGGCCACACAAUAUAGUGAAGAUAAAGCCAGGCAAGGGGGCGUCUUGGGUUGGAUGACCAGAGGGUCCAUGGUGGGACCAUUUCAAGAAGCAGCAUUUGCCUUGCCUAUAAGUGUGAUGGAUAAGCCUGUGUUUACAGACCCAGCAGUUAAGACAAAAUUUGGAUAUCAUAUUAUUAUGGUUGAAGGAAGAAAAUAAAAUCAUAUGAAAGACUGAAAGAA